UCAAUGAUGUCAAUCCCUGGAUAAAUUAAUAACAUUAUUUUUUAUGAAUGAAUAUCAAUUAUUUUCCCAAAGAAAAAUUAAAGUCAGUGCUUGGAACAUCACAAUCCAGACCACGCCCUCUUCUUCCCUGCAAGAAAGCAAGAUGAAUGAUCAAGUCAUAUAUGUUUGGCUUCUAAUAUGAUAACUACUAGAAAAUAGAGCGAUUUAAAACAUGUGAAAUAUAAUGAAGUAGACUUAUAUAUCAAAUCUGUUCAUGUGAAUAAUCCUGGCCAUGUUUAUGAUUCAUAUGUAUGUGUGGUGUGUUUGGAACUAUACAAUCACACACACACAUAAAUGAAGAGGGAGAAGCAAAACUAGCUGCCAGAAAACAGCCCAAAAGGGUACAUGAGGUGAAAUUAUGAACACAGAUGUAUGCGGGUUACAAAAGUCUAAAGGAUUUGAACAUGUAAAUAAGGAUUAUAUCAUGCAAAAAGUCUACUAAACUCAUUUAUUCAAUAUGAGUGAUCUAUUUAAGGAGUUGAGACAAACCACGUCAAAAUUAUAAUUCAAUAUGAUUUCUAUUCAGCUUCAAAUCUGUUUUUUGUUUGUAUUUUCAUCUGCGUCGUCAUGUUUUUUUUUAAAAAGAAGCUAUAUUUACAAAGCUACAGUCACCAAUCCAUAACAGUAUAAUAUGAACAUUGUGAAACUGUCGAAGUUGUCGAGUCUUGAAUGAAUAGAAGCACUCACGCGGGAAAUAAAUCCGACGAGAACUGGCCACCGAGAAAACACAAACACCAAGCCUCUACAAGGUGAUAUGAUA
Molecule: long non-coding RNA, 799 nt
Filed under: Populus trichocarpa (black cottonwood)
Lineage: Eukaryota; Viridiplantae; Streptophyta; Magnoliopsida; Malpighiales; Salicaceae
Description: long non-coding RNA (PTRI_LNC001443)
Source: RNAcentral